This 118-nucleotide transfer RNA is filed under the name Muribaculaceae bacterium. Its description in RNAcentral is "tRNA-OTHER". It matches the Rfam family "tRNA". Rfam says of the family: Transfer RNA (tRNA) molecules are approximately 80 nucleotides in length. Lineage: Bacteria; Pseudomonadati; Bacteroidota; Bacteroidia; Bacteroidales; Muribaculaceae. The record is from RNAcentral.
AACGAUAUAGCUCAGUUGGCAGAGCAAUGAAAAGAUUCGGAGUAACCACAGUAAUAUGAAUUAAGUAUGGGGAUCUGAACAUUUGCAUAGGUCGGCGGUUCGAGUCCGCCUGUCGUUC